GUGGAUUAGAUACCCUGGUAGUCCACGCCCUAAACGAUGUCUACUAGUUGUCGGGUCUUAAUUGACUUGGUAACGCAGCUAACGCGUGAAGUAGACCGCCUGGGGAGUACGGUCGCAAGAUUAAAACUCAAAGGAAUUGACGGGGACCCGCACAAGCGGUGGAUGAUGUGGAUUAAUUCGAUGCAACGCGAAAAACCUUACCUACCCUUGACAUGGAUGGAAUCCCGAAGAGAUUUGGGAGUGCUCGAAAGAGAACCAUCACACAGGUGCUGCACGGCCGUCGCCAGCU
RNAcentral lists this ribosomal RNA (289 nucleotides) under uncultured bacterium. Its description in RNAcentral is "partial 16S ribosomal RNA". It matches the Rfam family "Bacterial small subunit ribosomal RNA", at positions 773 to 1060 of the family's 1533-position model. The record is from RNAcentral.